RNAcentral lists this transfer RNA (76 nucleotides) under Actinomycetes bacterium. Its description in RNAcentral is "tRNA-Arg". It matches the Rfam family "tRNA". Rfam says of the family: Transfer RNA (tRNA) molecules are approximately 80 nucleotides in length. Their secondary structure includes four short double-helical elements and three loops (D, anti-codon, and T loops). Lineage: Bacteria; Bacillati; Actinomycetota; Actinomycetes. The record is from RNAcentral. RNAcentral also lists the same sequence under 3 other names.
GCACUCGUAGCUCAACGGAUAGAGCAUUUGACUUCGGAUCAAAGGGUUGGGGGUUCAAGUCCCUCCGAGUGCGCCA